UCACACCAACUAAUUUGUAUUAUUCUCUAAAGUGAUAAUAACAAGAAGAUAACAUCACACGCCUUAUAGGCACUACAAGGAACAUCGAACUACAAACUAGGAAUAACUUAACACUAUUUCUAAACAUUUACUGACUAAGCAAAUGACUGGAUAAUGCAACACAUUAAUCAAGCAACUCAAUGAUGUACAACUUAAAAUCGAACGCAUAAGCUUUGGUUUCUUUCUUUUGAUUCGUCUUCACCCAGUCUGCGUUAAUGUUGGUCAUGAACUCUUUAGGCUCUUUUUUAUCCUUCAAAUGUUGCAUCCGUAAAUUAAUUACACUAUUUAUGAAUCAAUGGAUCGAUAUUAUGCAUGCUACCCUUGUCAUUCCUAAGUAGAUAAGUUACUUACUGUCUUCCACACGAGUCAUUGGCCAACACUCACAAGUAAGCCAAUUUUCAGGUCAAAAUCCCCAACCACUUGGAUGGUUGGGUAGACGUCAGCAACUCAGAAUCCUAAUAAUAACCCUUUACAAUAUCCUCCAUGGAGACAACCUCCGGAACCUUCUUGAUCGUAAUCCACUUUCCACAUGGGACCUAUCCAAUUUAUAGAUGCGAUUAAUAAGUAAUUGUAGAGAAUGGCACUAAUAAAUAAUAAUAAUAACAAGGCUACAAAUUCAUGUUUAUUACCUUUUCGGUUCGAAGUUUAUACUCCUUAUCAUCCCAUCUAAUUGCGAAUUCCAUGUCGCGACCACAAUUAUCACAAACAAAGUAAAGGUUAAAUUUGGAAAGCUAUAGAAGGCUCAUUGAUUCAUAAGGCUCUCCAUAUCACGCAACGACAUUAUAAGUCCUCUUAGUAACCAUCUGGGAAUCUGCGUGUGUGGGUGUUCGCAAGUGUGUGAGUGUGCCUAAGGUGUGGUUGGCACACAUAUAUAUAAGCGGACUCAUUCCAUAAUAAUAAUAAUAAUAAUAAUAAUAAUAAUAGUUGAAAUAAUAGAAAUAAUAGUAUAAUAAGAAUAUAAUUAUAAUAAUUAGAUGAGUUGAAUUAUUUGGUUAAUAAUUAUAAUAGUUUAAAUCUAAAAGUUAAUAGUUAUUU
RNAcentral lists this long non-coding RNA (1074 nucleotides) under Lactuca sativa (garden lettuce). RNAcentral's name for it is "long non-coding RNA (LSAT_LNC006687)". The record is from RNAcentral. Lineage: Eukaryota; Viridiplantae; Streptophyta; Magnoliopsida; Asterales; Asteraceae.